This is a long non-coding RNA of Gossypium raimondii (Peruvian cotton), 2315 nucleotides long. RefSeq lists it as uncharacterized. The transcript has 3 exons. Lineage: Eukaryota; Viridiplantae; Streptophyta; Magnoliopsida; Malvales; Malvaceae. The record is from RefSeq and is a predicted model, not a curated record.
GAAAGGGAGAGCGUCGCUUCUCGCUUCCCAUUCUCUGCACUUUCAAAUCCCAGGCCUCUGCCCUUUCCACUCCGAUUCUAGAGGAGAAGAAAGGCUUCAUCGGCGCACCCCCGAGGGUAAACUCCUCCUCUUAUUCUCUUAUUCACUUUUUUUUUUAUUUCAACGAAAUGAGAACAGAGGCAAAAGAAAAAAAUAAAAAAACCGAAUCAGAGAACCAAAAUCACCUUUUUUCAGUUUUCGUUUGUAUUGAUUUUUUCUUUUUUGAUACAGUGUGCGGGAGUGUGUUCUUUACAAAUACUAAAAAAAUGGCUUUAUAGCCGAAUCGAAAAGAAACGAGAAAAUAAAAAUAUUUUUUUCUCUGCUAUUUUUCUCUUUUUCUGUUGCUUUUUGUUUUUUCUUCCUUCUUUUUUUGCUGUUGUCUUGUCGUUUGCUGCAGGUACGGGUACGGAGGCCAACUGGAGGCUCGUGGUGGCGCUACGUGCGUGAGGGAAAAUCUACUGGCUGCGGCGCUAAAAGUUUCCUGCUGCUAGGGUUUCUGCUCUCGGGUUGGGAUUUGGGCUGAUUGGGUUUUCUGGAUAUUGGGUUAUGGGUUUGUAACGGGAUUUUGAAUUUUGUUGUUUAUUUAUUAUUUAGGCUUUUUAUCAGGCCCGGGCAAAAUUUGGGCAUCACAACUGUUGAGCUUCGUCGACUUAACAAGGCCAAAUCGGAUUCCCUUGUGUUCCUCACAGAUUUAAAAUGUUCAUAUAUGAAGUUUUGACAAAAAGAGAGAGGAAGAUAUGGAGUAAGAGGGAGCAACAAAAGGAAGCUUGGUUGUAACACCCCUCACCUGGAGUGAACCAAUACAUCAUGAGCAAGGGAUGUCACAUUUGGAAACUAAGGCUACUUAAUCAAAAAUCAAUUUAAAAACUUUGUUUUAACAUAAAUAGACUCUUUUGAAGUUUUUUAAGUCGUUUCUAGGCUUUUUUUAAAGUUUCGCACUAAUUUUAUUAUUUUGCAAAAUUUUCAUUAAACCCUAAUUUGUGACCCGCAUUGUUUUUUUAAAAUAAAUAUUGCAAAAUUAUUUCAAAAAUAAGGAAAUAUCCUAGUGGUUAAUUGAUAAAUGGAAAAGCAUGGAAUUAAUUUAAGGUCCAAGUUUGAAUUGUUUUCCUUGCAAAAUAAUUAAGUUUUGCAAAAUCCUUUGUUCUUUUUAAUGUGUGUGCCAUCCAUACCCUUGAACCCUAGGUACAAAUACAAAUUUUUCUUGUAUUUUUUAGCUUUAAGUCAAUUUUCCCUACCCUAGUUGUUCACCCACUUCCUCUCCUUUAUUCUCUUCAAUUUUCUUUCUUUCUUCCCCUGUGUACCGUCGCCCAAGCCACCAAGAUUCACCAUCAAUUUCUCUUCUUUUUGCAACGGGUUCUUGCACCAUUAUUUUCCUCUUCUUGAUGUCAUUUUAUCAUAAAAUUUCCAGCCUUAAAUCUGAAAUUUUAGCACUCAAGAUCGGCCUCCAUUGGUGCCCUAAAAGAACUCUAUUGCCGCCCCUUUCACAUAGCUUGUGUAAGUUCUUGUUUUCUUUCAAUUUUUUAAUGAAUCUUGUAAGUUAAAAACCCAAACUUCUAGAUUUGGAAUUUGGGUGAAUUUUAAAUAUUUAAUGGGAAUUUUUCUAACCUUUAAAGUGAUUUCAAUUAUGGUUUUAAAUCAGUCCUGAUUUGCUACAUUGGUGGUGGUGUGCAGCACCUAGAGGCACAAAAGGGAGCUGUUGUUUCUUUAUUUUUUCCAUUUAUUUCCAGAAACAUCUUGGGUUUUUGAACCCUUCCUAAUAAGCCCUUAAUCACGUGUAAUUAGGAAAAAAUCAAUCUUGAUCGAUUGGCGACUCAGAUCUAACAAUUCGGGAAGCGCAUCGACUUAAAUGCCCCAAACCAGCAGUGAAGCCAAAAGACAUUUGCGCUUACGAUUCACAUCAAUUCAGUAGGAGUUCCGUAGAGUACCAGCGGCAUAUCAAGUCCGCAUUAUUCGUAGCCAGUGCAUUGCACCUGAAGCACCGAGGGGAAUGGUGGUUUUAUCGCACUAUUUGUUAUUCAACAGAUUUUCUGCAUUUAUUGUAUUCUGUGGUUUAUACUACAUCGAGCUUUGAUCACAAACAUUGGAGUUUGGCAUACGGGUUCUAGGGAACUUCUGGUGUGUAGCAGAUGGUUGGGGUAGGAACCUUUUUGCAUUGCAUCAUGCUCACGACAUACUCAAAUGUUACUGAUUUAUGCUAUGUAUUGUAUUGUGUUGUAUUGAAUGGUAUUAAAAUUAAUGAUUGUUAUUCAAAUGAAUGAUGGCCCAUGCUCAUACAC